RNAcentral lists this non-coding RNA (189 nucleotides) under Microvirga sp. The record is from RNAcentral. Lineage: Bacteria; Pseudomonadati; Pseudomonadota; Alphaproteobacteria; Hyphomicrobiales; Methylobacteriaceae.
GGUAAGGAUGUCACAGACGGUGCCCCGGAUACGGGGUGAAAAGGGAAUGCGGUGAGACACCGCGGCUGCCCCCGCAACUGUAAGCGGCGAGCCUUCGCUCCAAAUGCCACUGGAAUGACAUUCCGGGAAGGCGGUAGCGCAAGGCAUCGACCCGCGAGCCAGGAGACCUGCCGUCAUCGUGCAACCCAA